ACCCGCUGAACUUAAGCAUAUCAAUAAGCGGAGGAAAAGAAACCAACAGGGAUUGCCCUAGUAACGGCGAGUGAAGCGGCAACAGCUCAAAUUUGAAAUCUGGCGUCUUUGGCGUCCGAGUUGUAAUUUGCAGAGGGCGCUUUGGCAUUGGCAGCGGUCCAAGUUCCUUGGAACAGGACGUCACAGAGGGUGAGAAUCCCGUACGUGGUCGCUAGCCUUUACCGUGUAAAGCCCCUUCGACGAGUCGAGUUGUUUGGGAAUGCAGCUCUAAAUGGGAGGUAAAUUUCUUCUAAAGCUAAAUACUGGCCAGAGACCGAUAGCGCACAAGUAGAGUGAUCGAAAGAUGAAAAGCACUUUGGAAAGAGAGUUAAAAAGCACGUGAAAUUGUUGAAAGGGAAGCGCUUGCAGCCAGACUUGCCUGUAGUUGCUCAUCCGGGUUUUUACCCGGUGCACUCUUCUAUAGGCAGGCCAGCAUCAGUUUGGGCGGUUGGAUAAAGGUCUCUGUCAUGUACCUCUCUUCGGGGAGGCCUUAUAGGGGAGACGACAUGCAACCAGCCUGGACUGAGGUCCGCGCAUCUGCUAGGAUGCUGGCGUAAUGGCUGU
RNAcentral lists this ribosomal RNA (603 nucleotides) under uncultured fungus. Its description in RNAcentral is "eukaryotic LSU rRNA". It matches the Rfam family "Eukaryotic large subunit ribosomal RNA", at positions 23 to 641 of the family's 3401-position model. Lineage: Eukaryota; Fungi. The record is from RNAcentral.